AAAGUUUAUUUGUUUCGGUUUAGUCCCAAGUAUUCCAUGAUUGGGGAAAAUUAUUUUUUAUUACUAUUUCUUAUAACAAGAAAAAAAAUAGAAGAGGGAAAGAAUGCGAAAACCUACUAAUAUUUAACGGCGAAAGCACUCUGCUGGGUCGACAUUGACACUGAGAGACGAAAGCUAGGGGAGCGCAUGGGAUUAGAUACCCCAGUAGUCCUAGCCGUAAACGAUGGAUAGUAGGCGCU
RNAcentral lists this non-coding RNA (239 nucleotides) under Helianthus annuus (common sunflower). Its description in RNAcentral is "sRNA HanXRQr2_Chr08g0318691". It matches the Rfam family "Bacterial small subunit ribosomal RNA", at positions 567 to 824 of the family's 1533-position model. Lineage: Eukaryota; Viridiplantae; Streptophyta; Magnoliopsida; Asterales; Asteraceae. The record is from Rfam by way of RNAcentral.